RNAcentral lists this ribosomal RNA (301 nucleotides) under uncultured bacterium. RNAcentral's name for it is "partial 16S ribosomal RNA". It matches the Rfam family "Bacterial small subunit ribosomal RNA", at positions 509 to 809 of the family's 1533-position model. The record is from RNAcentral.
CAGUAGCCACGGUAAUACAGAGGGUGCGAGCGUUAAUCGGAUUUACUGGGCGUAAAGCGUGCGUAGGCGGCUUCUUAAGUCGGAUGUGAAAUCCCUGAGCUUAACUUAGGAAUUGCAUUCGAUACUGGGAAGCUAGAGUAUGGGAGAGGAUGGUAGAAUUCCUGGUGUAGCGGUGAAAUGCGUAGAGAUCUGGAGGAAUACCGAUGGCGAAGGCAGCCAUCUGGCCUAAUACUGACGCUGAGGUACGAAAGCAUGGGGAGCAAACAGGAUUAGAUACCCCGGUAGUCCCUGUCUCUUAUAA